GUGUCAGUAUUUUGUGAUUUGCCAACAUUUAAAUUUAUUGACAGCUCAACUAUCGUGUGGCAACUUAUCGGCUAAACGCGUUUUUGGUAUUUUUUCUAUUUAUAUCGAUGGUUGGCAACUCACUAUCAAUGAACAUUUCUGCUUCCCAGGUCUGGCGCAAAUGUUACGAAUUCGGGAGCAUCACGGGCAUUUUCCAAACCGCUUGCCCAUCAUGUAUUGCCGUCGCGGGAACUAUGUUUUUAUGCCCCCUAAUUUAGUAGGAGAGGCAUCAAUGACGACGUUUCCUGAGGCGGCUCUAGAAGGCUACGCAUCACGUUCGGCCUGAAUGCACGCUUUAUUGGGCGGCCGCAGCUGUACGUUAUUUCAACUCCAAAGGAUUGGAUGGCCUGAAUGCCACGUAGGCGAUAACAGGAUGCUGGAUGGAGCCCACUCAGAGCUGUUGGGCCAUUGUAUACCCCGCUUGGUUGGGCGAUGCCGAAGCCGUCGCUCACCCCAGAUUCAGUACAUGGCUCAUGGACCGUCUGGGCGUAUUAUCUUCUUGGUGAGUGUUUCUCUGGCGAUCGCAAGAAGCGCAACUUAUUGGCUCAUCAGAGUUGGAUAGCCUGGAUAACAGGCCGGAGACGAUACAGGAAUGCUGGAUGGAGCCCUCUCAGAGCUGCCGAGCUAUUAUCGACUCAAAGCCGUCGCUCAUUCCAAGUUAAGCACAUCAUCCGGCAGGCCGUCGUAGAGCACCUCGUGGAAGCGUCGUGGAUUGGAGCAUCUGGCAGCGCCUCUCAAACGCCAUACCAUUUGCAGGUCAGCUGGCUCAAGCGGUCGCAAAAACGCAUCAUGUCGGCUUCUCAGUGUUGGAUGGCCUGAUUAACAGGCCAAAGGCCAUACAGGAUGCUGGAUGGAGCCCACUACAGUGCCCAGAUUCAAUAGGUGGCUCAGUAGACCGUCUGAGCGUAUCGUAUUCUUGAACAACGCAUUAGCCUCGUAGUCUGGAAAACAUCCAGUGGCGUCUCUCACACGCCACACAACCCGUCCAGGAAUCGCAUUAAUCGACUGAAAGCGGUCGCUUAUUCCAAAAUGGACACAUAAUCCAGUAGGCCGACGUGGAGCAUAUCGUCUUGGAAACGUCGUUGAUUCGCACAUCUGGCAUUGUCUCUCACACGCUACCCCACUUUGCAGGAUCUGGAAGUCGGUCGUAGCAGCAUAUUAAUCGUUUUGCCGGUCGUAGCAGCGUAUUAGUCGACUCAUUCCAAAAUGGACACAUCAUCCAGUAGGCCGACCUGGAGCAUCUCGUCUUGGAUACCUCGUGGAUUGGAACAUCUGGCGGCGUCUCUCCACGCCACACCACUCGUCCAGAAUUUGCAGGUCAGCCGACCUUGACAGUCGCAACAACGCAUCAUGUCGGCUCCACAGAGCUGGAUGGCCAGAUUAACAGGCUGGAGAUGAUACAGGAUGCUGGAUAGAGCCCACUCAGAGCUGCUGAGCUAUUGCAUAUUUCGUUUGGGUGGGCGAUGCCAAAUCCGUCGCUCACCCCAAAUUUAGCCCAGUAGACCGUCGUGGGCGUAUCGUCUUCUUGGUGAGUAUGUGUCUGUAACUUUUAAGCAGAGCUUUUGAUUUUAUGUUUUUAAUUU
Non-coding RNA from Drosophila virilis, 1622 nucleotides. NCBI's taxonomy places the organism in Eukaryota, Metazoa, Arthropoda, Insecta, Diptera, Drosophilidae. The record is from RefSeq and is a predicted model, not a curated record.